GACGAACGCUGGCGGCGUGCUUAACACAUGCAAGUCGUACGGUAAGGCCCUUUCGGGGGUACACGAGUGGCGAACGGGUGAGUAACACGUGAGUAACCUGCCCACAACUUUGGGAUAACGCUAGGAAACUGGUGCUAAUACUGGAUAUGUGCUCCUGCUGCAUGGUGGGGGUUGGAAAGCUCCGGCGGUUGUGGAUGGACUCGCGGCCUAUCAGCUUGUUGGUGGGGUAGUGGCCUACCAAGGCGGCGACGGGUAGCCGGACUGAGAGGGUGACCGGCCACAUUGGGACUGAGAUACGGCCCAGACUCCUACGGGAGGCAGCAGUGGGGAAUAUUGCACAAUGGGCGCAAGCCUGAUGCAGCAACGCCGCGGGCGGGAUGACGGCCUUCGGGUUGUAAACCGCUUUCAGCAGGGACGAAGCUUUUUGUGACGGUACCUGCAGAAGAAGCACCGGCUAACUACGUG
This 465-nucleotide ribosomal RNA is filed under the name uncultured bacterium. RNAcentral describes it as "partial 16S ribosomal RNA". It matches the Rfam family "Bacterial small subunit ribosomal RNA", at positions 28 to 507 of the family's 1533-position model. The record is from RNAcentral.